AUGAAACAAAAAUUUGUGCUAUUUUGGUGGCGUGUUUGGCACCAUAGAAAUGACACGAUCUUCGCAGAAGGUAAAGCGGAAAUUUCCCACUCUGCUCGUUUUCUGCAAAACUAUCUUGGAAACCUCCGCUUGAUUUCGGAUGGAACUUCUGAGAUAUAUCGAAAAGGGAAAAGUCCGAUGGUUAAAUUACCAAGUGUGCAACAACAUGAUAAUACAAGGGAAACGAGAUGGCAAAAGCCAGAGCUCGGAUGGGCUAAGGUCAAUGUUGAUGGAAGUUUUCUGGAGAAAAGUAGGAGUAGAGUCUGGGACGCUGUGAUUCGAGACCAUGAUGGAAGAAUUAUCUUAUCAGCUUGGGAUUAUAUACCACGGUGCAAUGGAGCGGACUGCGAGGAAGCCAUGGCUUGCCUAAAAAGACUACGGAAGGCAAUGUCGGGGACGGAUCUGCCCGUAAUCGUUGAGACGGAUUGCAGAUUGGUGACAAAGGUGCUCAUCCUUUCGUCUAUUGAUAGAUCGGAAGUUGGAGGAAUUACAAAGGAGUUUCAAGCCAUCAAAGGGAACACAGAAGUUAGAGUUUUGAAAGUAGAUAGAAGGGACAAUAGGUUACUUCAUAGUCUUGUCUGGGCGUAG
RNAcentral lists this ribosomal RNA (627 nucleotides) under Triticum aestivum (bread wheat). Its description in RNAcentral is "partial small subunit ribosomal RNA". Lineage: Eukaryota; Viridiplantae; Streptophyta; Magnoliopsida; Poales; Poaceae. The record is from RNAcentral.